GACGAACGCUGGCGGCGUGCUUAACACAUGCAAGUCGAACGGAAAGGCCCUGCUUUUGUGGGGUGCUCGAGUGGCGAACGGGUGAGUAACACGUGAGUAACCUGCCCUUGACUUUGGGAUAACUUCAGGAAACUGGGGCUAAUACCGGAUAGGAGCUCCUGCUGCAUGGUGGGGGUUGGAAAGUUUCGGCGGUUGGGGAUGGACUCGCGGCUUAUCAGCUUGUUGGUGGGGUAGUGGCUUACCAAGGCUUUGACGGGUAGCCGGCCUGAGAGGGUGACCGGCCACGUUGGGACGGAGAUACGGCCCAGACGCCUACGGGAGGCAGCAGUGGGGAAUAUUGCACAAUGGGCGGAAGCCUGAUGCAGCAACGCCGCGGGCGGGAUGACGGCCUUCGGGUUGUAAACCGCUUUCGCCUGUGACGAAGCGUGAGUGACGGUAAUGGGUAAAGAAGCACCGGCUAACUACGUG
Molecule: ribosomal RNA, 468 nt
Filed under: uncultured bacterium
Lineage: Bacteria
Description: partial 16S ribosomal RNA
Rfam family: Bacterial small subunit ribosomal RNA
Source: RNAcentral